RNAcentral lists this ribosomal RNA (781 nucleotides) under uncultured Acidobacterium sp. RNAcentral's name for it is "bacterial SSU rRNA". It matches the Rfam family "Bacterial small subunit ribosomal RNA", at positions 8 to 801 of the family's 1533-position model. Lineage: Bacteria; Pseudomonadati; Acidobacteriota; Terriglobia; Terriglobales; Acidobacteriaceae. The record is from RNAcentral.
AGAGUUUGAUCCUGGCUCAGAAUCAACGCUGGCGGCGUGCCUCAGACAUGCAAGUCGAACGAUUAAACUUUCCUUCGGGAAAGAUAUAAAGUGGCGCACGGGUGAGUAACACGUAAGUAAUCUACCUUCGAGUGGGGAAUAACGUUCGGAAACGGACGCUAAUACCGCAUAAUGCAGCGGCAUCGCAAGAUGACRGUUGUUAAAGGAGCAAUUCGCUUGAAGAGGAGCUUGCGGCAGAUUAGCUAGUUGGUAAGGUAAUGGCUUACCAAGGCUACGAUCUGUAUCCGGUCUAAGAGGACGGUCGGACACACUGACACUGAAUAACGGGUCAGACUCCUACGGGAGGCAGCAGUCGGGAAUUUUGGGCAAUGGGCGAAAGCCUGACCCAGCAACGCCGCGUGAAGGAUGAAGUAUUUCGGUAUGUAAACUUCGAAAGAAUAGGAAGAAUAAAUGACGGUACUAUUUAUAAGGUCCGGCUAACUACGUGCCAGCAGCCGCGGUAAUACGUAGGGACCAAGCGUUGUUCGGAUUUACUGGGCGUAAAGGGCGCGUAGGCGGCAAUUCAAGUCAUCUGUGAAAUCUCCGGGCUUAACUCGGAACGGUCAGAUGAUACUGCUUUGCUAGAGUGCAGAAGGGGCAAUCGGAAUUCUUGGUGUAGCGGUGAAAUGCGUARAUAUCAAGAGGAACACCUGAGGUGAAGACGGGUUGCUGGGCUGACACUGACGCUGAGGCGCGAAAGCCAGGGGAGCAAACGGGAUUAGAUACCCCGGUAGUCCUGGCC